AGAGGUAUAGCCAAGUGGAAAGGCAUGAAUUUUUGGUAUUUACAUACGUGGGUUCGAUUCCUACUGCCUCUA
This 72-nucleotide transfer RNA is filed under the name Acrasis kona. RNAcentral's name for it is "tRNA-Gln". It matches the Rfam family "tRNA". From Rfam's summary of the family: Transfer RNA (tRNA) molecules are approximately 80 nucleotides in length. Lineage: Eukaryota; Heterolobosea; Eutetramitea; Acrasida; Acrasidae. The record is from RNAcentral.